GAUCCCACCACCGCGUCAGUCUACCGUCGGCAUCCGCAUAGUCAACAACCCCUAGUAUCCCCGAGCGAUCCCGGAAGGUAGCACAAAGUUACGCGCGUCUUCAAACGGGUUUUGAAUCACUUUUUGUAAGUCUUAGGGGAGGUUGGACGGGUGAACGAGCGUCAUCAUUCAUAGAGCUAAAUACGUUUUGCCUGACGUGCCAUGUCACGUUUCCGCUCGGUGACAUUCCGGCGUGGAAUCAUCUGUUGAGGGAAAUGAGACGGAGUCACCUUGCAGCAACGCGACUUCGGAAAGGAUUUCGAUUCUUCCUGUUCUCCUCGAAGAAUUUGUUUUUCGGGUAAAAAGAGAAAAAUCGACAUUUCUUGCUGUCAAUGUCCUCCUCAGCUGAUUUAUGAUCGCGCGCGAUACUCUCCUUUUUUCACAGUUUCUCAUGAUUUUUAGAAUAAUUCAGCAUUAGAAAAUUAAAAUGAUAUUACUCAUUCAAUUGUGUUCUUUUAUUGUUACGAAUUAAUUUUGCUGCUAUUACGAAGCCUUCUCUAAUUAAUAAAUAUUACGCGAAUGUACUGUGAUUAUCGUUUAGAAAGUCGAUUGGUGCAGAGGACAAAAGUAAUAGCUUUUUAAAAGAAAAACUUUUAUUUAAAUAGAUUAUCCAAUCAAGAUUAAUUAACUAAACAAAAAUAGCUCUUCAUUUUUACAAUUGUAUUUUCUCCAUAUAAACAUUUUGUACGAUUAAUUAUUAAGAUUGUAGCUUCGAGAAGAAACACGGAUUUAUAAUCGUUCAAGUGUAAUGCGACUUUAAACCGUCGAACUGUUUUUUCUGAAUCUCGAGAGCGCAAAGGAUUUUUGCGCCACCGGGAAUCAAGUUUCCGUUAAGUGACAUCCACGUAAAAUCAUCCGCUGAAGGUAAUAGGAAACGAGGUCGAGUCACUUUGCUGCAACGCAAUCGCGGGAUAGUUGAGUUUUCUUUUAUUUAGUUGAGGAUUUUAAGGACGAAAGACGGCAGGAAAGUUUUUCUAUGGUCGGGUUUCCGUUAGGUGACACCUACGUGGAACCAUCCGCAUGGGAUGAAACGAAAAGAGUUGGCAUUCCCUCCCCGUAAGUUGUUAUCAUGUUUAUUGGCUCGCUCGUGUUCCUCGAAGACGCGAGGUAGGAUUAUAUAUCUCGUAAAUUGUUCUUAAUUGGUUUCUUACCGUAUUUAAUUGAUAUACUUUUUUUUUGUAGCGUCACGCGGUUCGAAAAGACUUUCUCUGUCGCCAAAUUAUGUAUGUCGGUAUCUAAGAGCAAAGAUAGAAAUUCUCAGUUUAAAUUCAGUUGACUGUGUCUGACAAAAUAUUUGGAAAUUUGUGUCACCGUUUAAUAGUAAUAAUGGAGAACGUUAUAAGUAAAUUUUUAUGCGUCUUGCUUUUCAUCGCUUCUCGUCGCUACGCUAGAAACGUAAACAACUGUAACAACUGUAAGAGAGAAUUUUUGUACACGGAAUUAUUUUGAUAAUUUUGCAACUUUUGUCUUUGCCGUUGAAGCCCUUAUUUAACGUUUCCCUAAAACCUCCUUCUCGCUUAAAUCGUGCGUGUCAUUAGUAAAGCGCGUAGAACAAUACAUCGCGCGGGCAUUAAUUAAAUUCUUCUCGGCCGAGUUUCCACAUCGUCGCAACGCAUUUAUUAUUCAUUCCCGCAAACGAUAUACAUAUCGUCGUCUCGUUUGUCUUCAAAUGACCCGGCGUUGACGAUGGCACCUGUCCGUGGUGUCAUGCGGGUGCAUAACACGUCACGUGGGGUACACGCUGGUUGUCGGUGCGUAGAUAGAUUGCACGUGACAGCUCGGCUUCCUGACGAUCGGCGUCGGGCGCCGAGAAAAGUGGGGUCAUCGUGCUUUAAACACCGUGCGCCGUGGAAACGUCUCCGUGAGACGCUCGCUUUGUCCUCCGGCCGGCUCACGAUUGCGAUCAGAAUCCACCUGCUCCACCGGCCGACCUGCCACGCCGCAGUCUGACCAUCGCGGAAACCCUCGAUCUGGAGCCCGAUGAACGGGGGUCGACGGGGGUGAAGACUCAAACGACUUGCCGCCACGUUGCUUUGUUACCGUGUUUCUUCAUCCGUAAGUUUUUCACGUAAAUACAUCGAUUACCGUCGCUGCGACUUGAUGGCACACAGGGAGCUGUUAAAAUACCAACAAUCAAGAAUAUCGUGGCUCGAAAUGAAUAACCUCUGUCUGUACGUUCCCGCUUGUUAGUCCAAGGUGUCUCGCGCAUCUGUUGCUCGAGUACACGAGCGGAUAAAUUAUUAUUCGGUUUGCACGCAUGCUGGGUAAUAAAGAGAAAACUGUUUAACUUAAUUAACGAAAGAUAAAAAAGAGUAAAAAUGUACAUGUUUGGGUACAAAUGCGGGAGAAUUUGAGACUUAUGAAUUAUUUUUACUCAGGGUAUUUCGCUGUCUUUGUACCGCACUUGUUACACCUCGCGUACCACGCAAUUUCUGUUGGACUCGUGCUAUAUGGUAAUAAUUGUCUAUCAAGUAACAGUAGUAUAUAGUGUAACCUAGAUUCGCACUCGUCUUUGUAAUGUAAUUUCCACUUAGUAUGCGUAUGUUAGCGUACAGGGUGUGUCGGCAGUGAAUAAAUUAAAAAAAAAUCGAUCGUUACGAAUUUGUUAUAAGGACAUAUGUGUCGCAUCUUAAAGUGGCGUAAAAAAAUUUGAAAAUUUAAUGUAUUGUUCUAUUAUUACGUUUGAAUAUCUGAGUAAAAUUUAAGCACUCUUAUUGAUUUAAAAGUUGUUAGAAAAUUUUUUUUGUUUGUUUUUAAAUCUUAUUUGUAAUACAAAUUUGACGGAAAAGUAGCGUUACAAAUAAAAUCAAAUUUUAUAUAUAUAUAUAUACUAAUAAAAACCUAUGAUAAAUAUUCGUGCAAAAAUUUACUUGAAUCCACUUACUGCAUGGUUCAAAAGUUACUUGCCCGAAACUAUAGUAAAAUAAAAUUAUUUUUGCACAAGUCAUUAGAAGCUAAUUUUGUUUUCUUUGCAUUUGGUCUCAGAACCAAAUAUAACAAUAAAGAAGCCUGAGAAACCUGCUGUUUUAAAUGCAAUAACUCAUAGUUGAUAUUGUAGAGCCAAAAUGUACUAACAUGAGUAUGUGUGUGUGUGUGUAUUAGAUGGAAUUUAUGUUCAGACGAAUCUAAAAUGAUCAAAAUUACAUGCCUUGUCGAUGAUUGCAUCAAGAAGCUUACGCUCCAUAAACGUAGACCAUAAACGAUUGCUAUAAACGAGAUGUUAAUUCCAAAGAUUGUUUCAGAGAUAAGAAACGGGACUCGUUCGUUUUUACGGGCAAAUUAAAACGCCAUGGUGACGGGCUACGCGAAUGUUAAGAUAUCGAUCUGGUAAACUUUUGAUCCACCCUGUAGAUCGGCGUGUGCGAAUGUGUGCGCGCGCGUGUAUGCGGUGCAGCGCGCAAUAUCCAAGCUACCUGUCGGCCAUCAACGUCUUCGUACGAUUUAUCGUGACGUUACACGCGAGCGAGCCUUUCCGCCUACACCCUUCCGCCUUUCCGCCGGAAAACUUUUUCAAUUCGUGCCGGUUUCACCUAUUAGCGUCGCGCGAAUUUGCCUGGCUAUUAAUCCUACUUCAGGCUUUUGCUCGCGCGCGUAUCCGCCGGAUAAGGCCUCGGGUGUGGAUGUGCGUGAUAUUCGUGACAUCUCAACAGGUCACAUCCCUUGUGCGUUUUCUCCCUUUUUCUCUCUCUUCUGUUCGCGGAAGCAUAGUGCUUCCGUGUUGAUCAUCUAUCCCAACCGGAUAUAAUUCGUUUAUCUAGAACGAUGUAUCGAAUGUGAGAACGACAAAUGAGCAAAUAUUGAAACGUAUAGAAUUCGAAAUUGCGAACCUUUCAAUAUGUGCGAUCGUAUGGAAGAUCGUAACUUUGAUAUAAUUUUUUCGUUCUCUCAUUUCUCUUUUAUUUUCGACUUUGAAUUUAUUUCAUUUACACUUCACAUUUUUCCGCAGCGCGUUUGCCACUAUCUGUAUAAAAUAAUCUAGAUGAAUUAAGAAGUGGCUUUAUCUUUAUCUUUAUCUAAAUUAUUGGAGUAUAUAUGCUAUUUCCAUUUUUACCUAGAUAAAAAAAUUUUUUAUCUUUUCAAAUUAUCUACGUCAUUCUAAGUUAAUGUGAACAAUAACGAAUAUGAAGUAUUGUUCUUAGUUUCAACCUCCAAUUAUCUUAAUAGAAGAAUUCUUAAAUUAAGAACAUAUGUGAGUUAUAACGUAAUGUGAGUUAUAUAUUCUCCGCAUAUAUUUUUAACUUUGUUUUUUUAUUUGCGUAUUGAAUAAAAAAAAAA
This 4314-nucleotide long non-coding RNA is filed under the name Monomorium pharaonis (pharaoh ant). Its description in RNAcentral is "uncharacterized LOC114254431". The record is from RNAcentral. Lineage: Eukaryota; Metazoa; Arthropoda; Insecta; Hymenoptera; Formicidae.